Long non-coding RNA from Solanum dulcamara, 744 nucleotides. RefSeq lists it as uncharacterized. The transcript has 2 exons. NCBI's taxonomy places the organism in Eukaryota, Viridiplantae, Streptophyta, Magnoliopsida, Solanales, Solanaceae. The record is from RefSeq and is a predicted model, not a curated record.
UUCUAAAUUUUCUCUACCCAUAAAUCUAAUUUCACUCUUUAAUCUGUUUCGUAUAAGGCAAAUUAUUGUUAUUUUAGUGUUAUCUAUUUUAAUAAAAGUUUCAUUCGUAAUCUUGCAACCUUUUAUGUUCUAUAAAUUUGUGAAUUUUGUGCUGCGAAGUUGGUGUUUCUCAAUUUUUUGGGUGCAUUUAGGUUGAGGGUUUUGCGAUUUUUGUUAAAUCUCAUGGGUAAGAAAAUUUUUCAUAAGAUUCUUGUUAAAAAUCGGAAUGAGGAUUCCGAUUUUAUUGAUUCUCCGCCCAAUACUUCCAAUUCUUCAUAUGCAAAUACACUUCUAUAUCACAGUAGGAGUAAAAAAUGUUUAGGUGUUAAAAAAAUUGCUCAAAAUCGAAAGGUUGUUGAAAGUGAGGAUGAUGACAAUGAAGAAUGAUUUUCGAAUGAUGAAAAAGUUGUGGUUGAUAAUCGCCUUCUCCAGGAGUGGAAUUUUUAUGUACCGAAGGAAAAAAAAUUCACAAAUGCUCGCUUUAGCUGUCAUGUGAAUACAUGUAUUGUAGAGUUGUUAAAAUCAACUAUUUCUGAAGUGCAACUAAAUAUGUUUAGAAAACCAAUUUUUGAAUACUUUCUUGAUAUGCCUCCAUUCAUUGUUCAGAAUCAACUUAUUUGUUACUUGAUGAAAAGAGAGGUAGUUCAGAAUUGUAGUGACAAAUUUUAUGUUAAUAUUCAUGGCAAUAUAUUUUGCUUUGAAAUA